GAACCUGGGGUGGCAUUUGAACCUGGGACACUGCAGAAAGAGCAAUAGCAUCAAUCAAUGUGUCCAAACACUCCACCCUGCUGUUGUUGUUGUCGUCAUUAUUUUUAAUGGUAGUAGAAAAAGAAUUACUGAUGCUGUUGUAUUUGCAUUUUUUUGAUUAAGCUAACUUGCAAAAUAUCUAAUUCGAAUUUUAGGGUGAAAAGUAGCCAGAGCCAAACUCCUGUGCAUGCAAGAAUCUGACCAGGAUGGCAUUUCACGACAUUACAGGUUUAUAAAGAGUUGCAGCCUAUCCUGACAGCUGUAGUCACAAAGCAGGAAUCAACCCAGCAGGGUAACCAGCAUAAACCUCAGCCAGAUGUGUGUCCACGAGUCAGACUCCUAUCUUCAGGAAGUGGUGGAGACUACAG
Long non-coding RNA from Polypterus senegalus (gray bichir), 407 nucleotides. RefSeq lists it as uncharacterized. Lineage: Eukaryota; Metazoa; Chordata; Cladistia; Polypteriformes; Polypteridae. The transcript is spliced from 3 exons. The record is from RefSeq and is a predicted model, not a curated record.